RNAcentral lists this ribosomal RNA (468 nucleotides) under uncultured bacterium. Its description in RNAcentral is "partial 16S ribosomal RNA". It matches the Rfam family "Bacterial small subunit ribosomal RNA", at positions 28 to 507 of the family's 1533-position model. The record is from RNAcentral.
GAUGAACGCUGGCGGCGUGCCUAACACAUGCAAGUCGAGCGGAAGGGCGCGGCUUUUGCUUGGUUCUCGAUUGGGGAGGGGGGGUGAAACACGCGAGUAUCCCGCCCCUGACAGUGUGAUAUCAUUAGGAGACUGGGGCUAUUACCGGGUAGGAGAUUCUGAACCGUGGGGGUGAUUGGAAAGAGACGGCGGUUGUGGCUCGACUAGCGGCUUAUCAGCUUGUUGGUCGGGUAGUUGCGUUCGAGGGGUUUGACGGGUAGCCCGCCUGAGAGGGUGGACGGCCACCUUGGGACUAAGGUACGGACCAGUCGCCUACGGGAGGCAGCAGUGGGGAACAUUGCACAAUGGGCGGAAGCCUGAUGCAGCAACGCCGCGUGCGGGAUGCCGGCCUUCGGGUUAUAAACCGCUUUCGCCUGUGACGUAGCGUGAGUGACGGUAAUGGGUAAAGAAGCACCGGCUAACUACGUG